CACGGAGUUAGCCGGAGCUUAUUCUCCCGGUACUGUCAUUAUCAUCCCGGGUAAAAGAGCUUUACAACCCUAAGGCCUUCACCACUCACGCGGCAUUGCUGGAUCAGGCUUUCGCCCAUUGUCCAAUAUUCCCCACUGCUGCCUCCCGUAGGAGUCUGGGCCGUGUCUCAGUCCCAGUGUGGCUGAUCAUCCUCUCAGACCAGCUAAAGAUCGUCGCCUUGGUGCGCCUUUACCACACCAACUAGCUAAUCUUACGCGGGCUCAUCCCUCGGCGAUAAAUCUUUGGACUUACGUCAUCAUCCGGUAUUAGCAGUCGUUUCCAACUGUUAUUCCGAACCAAGGGGCAGAUUCCCACGCGUUACGCACCCGUGCGCCACUAAGGCCGAAGCCUUCGUUCGACUUGCAUGUGUUAGGCAUGCCGCCAGCGUUCAUUCUGAGCCAGGAUCAAACUCU
Molecule: ribosomal RNA, 453 nt
Filed under: uncultured Sphingomonas sp.
Lineage: Bacteria; Pseudomonadati; Pseudomonadota; Alphaproteobacteria; Sphingomonadales; Sphingomonadaceae
Description: partial 16S ribosomal RNA
Source: RNAcentral